UGGGGAAUUUUGGACAAUGGGCGCAAGCCUGAUCCAGCAAUGCCGCGUGCAGGAUGAAGGCCUUCGGGUUGUAAACUGCUUUUGUACGGAACGAAAAGCCCUGGGUUAAUACCCUGGGGUCAUGACGGUACCGUAAGAAUAAGCACCGGCUAACUACGUGCCAGCAGCCGCGGUAAUACGUAGGGUGCGAGCGUUAAUCGGAAUUACUGGGCGUAAAGCGUGCGCAGGCGGUUUUGUAAGACAGAGGUGAAAUCCCCGGGCUCAACCUGGGAACUGCCUUUGUGACUGCAAGGCUAGAGUACGGCAGAGGGGGAUGGAAUUCCGCGUGUAGCAGUGAAAUGCGUAGAUAUGCGGAGGAACACCGAUGGCGAAGGCAAUCCCCUGGGCCUGUACUGACGCUCAUGCACGAAAGCGUGGGGAGCAAACAGG
This 429-nucleotide ribosomal RNA is filed under the name Bacillota bacterium. Its description in RNAcentral is "Firmicutes bacterium partial 16S ribosomal RNA". It matches the Rfam family "Bacterial small subunit ribosomal RNA", at positions 355 to 776 of the family's 1533-position model. The record is from RNAcentral. Lineage: Bacteria; Bacillati; Bacillota. RNAcentral also lists the same sequence under 4 other names.